GGCAGGAAGGCGCAGGGUGCGCGUCGGCUUCUGAUGUGGGGAAUAUAUGCAAGAAAAUGGACCGCAGGUCCCCGUUCGACUCGGGGUCCUGCCA
Molecule: non-coding RNA, 94 nt
Organism: Mycena rebaudengoi
Lineage: Eukaryota; Fungi; Basidiomycota; Agaricomycetes; Agaricales; Mycenaceae
Source: the annotation of a GenBank genome assembly